Molecule: ribosomal RNA, 253 nt
Filed under: uncultured bacterium
Lineage: Bacteria
Description: partial 16S ribosomal RNA
Rfam family: Bacterial small subunit ribosomal RNA
Source: RNAcentral
UACAGAGGUGGCAAGCGUUGUUCGGAAUUAUUGGGCGUAAAGGGCUCGUAGGCGGUUUGUCGCGUCGGGAGUGAAAACCUCGGGCUUAACUCGGGGCUUGCUUUCGAUACGGGCAGACUGGAGGUAUGCAGGGGAGAACGGAAUUCCUGGUGUAGCGGUGAAAUGCGCAGAUAUCAGGAGGAACACCGGUGGCGAAGGCGGGUCUCUGGGCCGAUACUGACGCUGAGGAGCGAAAGCGUGGGGAGCGAACAGG